CCUAGUAACGGCGAGUGAAGCGGCAACAGCUCAAAUUUGAAAUCUGGCUUCGGCCCGAGUUGUAAUUUGUAGAGGAUGCUUUGGGCGCGGCUCCAACUGAGUUCCCUGGAACGGGACGCCACAGAGGGUGAGAGCCCCGUAUAGUUGGAUGCCUAGCCUGUGUAAAGCUCCUUCGACGAGUCGAGUAGUUUGGGAAUGCUGCUCAAAAUGGGAGGUAAAUUUCUUCUAAAGCUAAAUAUUGGCCAGAGACCGAUAGCGCACAAGUAGAGUGAUCGAAAGAUGAAAAGCACUUUGAAAAGAGGGUUAAAUAGCACGUGAAAUUGUUGAAAGGGAAGCGCUUGUGACCAGACUUGGGCCUGGCGGAUCAUCCGGUGUUCUCACCGGUGCACUCCGCCAGGCACAGGCCAGCAUCGGUUCUCGUGGGGGGAUAAAGGUCCCGGGAACGUAGCUCCUCCGGGAGUGUUAUAGCCCGGGGCGUAAUGCCCUCGCGGGGACCGAGGUUCGCGCAUCUGCAAG
Molecule: ribosomal RNA, 516 nt
Filed under: uncultured Chaetomidium
Lineage: Eukaryota; Fungi; Ascomycota; Sordariomycetes; Sordariales; Chaetomiaceae
Description: eukaryotic LSU rRNA
Rfam family: Eukaryotic large subunit ribosomal RNA
Source: RNAcentral